RNAcentral lists this ribosomal RNA (494 nucleotides) under uncultured bacterium. RNAcentral describes it as "partial 16S ribosomal RNA". It matches the Rfam family "Bacterial small subunit ribosomal RNA", at positions 28 to 507 of the family's 1533-position model. The record is from RNAcentral.
GACGAACGCUGGCGGCGUGCUUAACACAUGCAAGUCGAACGGUGAAGCGCCUUCCUUUUUGGUGGGUGUGGAUGAGUGGCGAACGGGUGAGUAACACGUGAGUAACCUGCCCCCUUCUUCUGGAUAACCGCAUGAAAGUGUGGCUAAUACGGGAUAUUCUGGGUCUGUCGCAUGAUGGGUCUGGGAAAGAUAUUGUUUCGGUGGGGGAUGGGCUCGCGGCCUAUCAGCUUGUUGGUGGGGUGAUGGACUACCAAGGCGGUGACGGGUAGCCGGCCUGGGAGGGUGGACGGUCACACUGGGACUGAGACACGGCCCGGACUCGUACGUGAGGCAGCAGUGGGGAAUAUUGGACAGUGGGCGCAAGCCUGAUGCAGCGGCGCCGCGUGAGGGAUGGAGGCCUUCGGGUUGUGAACCUCUUUCGACAGUGAAGCAGGCCUGCCUCGUUUGUGGGUGGGUUGACGGUAGCUGGAUAAGAAGCGCCGGCUAACUACGUG